This 253-nucleotide ribosomal RNA is filed under the name uncultured bacterium. Its description in RNAcentral is "partial 16S ribosomal RNA". It matches the Rfam family "Bacterial small subunit ribosomal RNA", at positions 524 to 776 of the family's 1533-position model. The record is from RNAcentral.
UACGUAGGUGGCAAGCGUUGUCCGGAAUUACUGGGUGUAAAGGGCGUGUAGGCGGGACUGCAAGUCCGAUGUUAAAUUCCCAGGCUCAACCUGGGGGCUGCAUCUGAAACUGUGGUUCUUGAGUGCUGGAGAGGAAAGCGGAAUUCCUAGUGUAGCGGUGAAAUGCGUAGAUAUUAGGAGGAACACCAGUGGCGAAGGCGGCUUUCUGGACAGUAACUGACGCUGAGUCGCGAAAGCGUGGCGAGCAAACAGG